AGUGAACGCUGGCGGUAGGCCUAACACAUGCAAGUCGAACGGCAGCACAGGAGAGCUUGCUCUCUGGGUGGCGAGUGGCGGACGGGUGAGGAAUACAUCGGAAUCUACUCUGUCGUGGGGGAUAACGUAGGGAAACUUACGCUAAUACCGCAUACGACCUACGGGCGAAAGCAGGGGACCUUCGGGCCUUGCGCGAUUGAAUGAGCCGAUGUCGGAUUAGCUAGUUGGCGGGGUAAAGGCCCACCAAGGCGACGAUCCGUAGCUGGUGUGUGAGGAUGAUCAGCCACACUGGAACGAGGAAACGGUCCAGACUCCUACGGGGGGAAGCAGUGGGGAAGAUUGGACAAUGGGCGCAAGCCUGAUCCAGCCAUACCGCGUGGGUGAAGAAGGCCUUCGGGUUGUAAAGCCCUUUUGUUGGGAAAGAAAUCCAGCUGGCUAAUACCCGGUUGGGAUGACGGUACCCAAAGAAUAAGCACCGGCUAACUUCGUGCCAGCCGCCGCCGUAA
RNAcentral lists this ribosomal RNA (506 nucleotides) under uncultured bacterium. RNAcentral's name for it is "partial 16S ribosomal RNA". It matches the Rfam family "Bacterial small subunit ribosomal RNA", at positions 29 to 523 of the family's 1533-position model. The record is from RNAcentral.